GCACUGACUAUAACUUUUGAGAGGACUUUUUCCUCAGCCAAAAAAAAAAAAAAAAAUACUGCUUUUGUAUUUGUCAAAUGUUUUACAUGAUGAGGACAAUGUAGUGGUGAUUAUUGCUUGGAGAGGUUAUUGUUUGUUUUGGGGGGUUUUUGUUUGUUGAAACAAUGUCUCAUUAUGUAGUUCAGGCUGACCUUGAACUUCUGGCAAUCCUUCUCCCUCAGCCUCUCAAGUGCUGGUAUUACAGGCGUGCACUACCACACCCAACUGUAGAGGAACACCUAUAGAAGCUAAAUCAUCAUCUCAGAGGUACUUGAAAUUAAACUCAACAUGAUGAGAAUACACUAAGAGAGGCUGAAGGACACAUUUUUGAAAGGGCUAGUGGAACUGGGAAUCAAAGACUUCUUAUGGCUAUGAGUUAUAGGCAUAGUCAAAGACUGCUAAUAGGCUACUGCAGCAUUGAGGGAAGAGACUACAGAUGGCUAACUACCAAAGCCUUCAGAAGCAAAGAAAAUGUAUUCAGAGACAAAGGGGAAAAGUUUUGAGCAUCAGUCACCUGCACAUCAACCCUACCAAAGUAAGCAGAGCUGCAGAGGUUAUGAAAGAGGCUUCUGAUGCAUGACUUCCCCAAAGCGGAAAGCCCU
This 641-nucleotide long non-coding RNA is filed under the name Heterocephalus glaber (naked mole-rat). Its description in RNAcentral is "lncRNA (ENSHGLG00000034068.1)". Lineage: Eukaryota; Metazoa; Chordata; Mammalia; Rodentia; Bathyergidae. The record is from RNAcentral.